GUCCACGCGGUAAACGAUGAAUACUAGGUGUAGGGGUAUCAACUCCCCCUGUGCCGCAGCUAACGCAAUAAGUAUUCCGCCUGGGGAGUACGGCCGCAAGGUUGAAACUCAAAGGAAUUGACGGGGGCCCGCACAAGCAGCGGAGCAUGUGGUUUAAUUCGACGCAACGCGAAGAACCUUACCAAGGCUUGACAUCUACUUAAAGUCAUGGAAACAUGAUGUCUCUUCGGAGGAAGUAAGACAGGUGGUGCAUGGUUGUCGU
This 262-nucleotide ribosomal RNA is filed under the name uncultured bacterium. Its description in RNAcentral is "partial 16S ribosomal RNA". It matches the Rfam family "Bacterial small subunit ribosomal RNA", at positions 793 to 1055 of the family's 1533-position model. The record is from RNAcentral.